RNAcentral lists this ribosomal RNA (472 nucleotides) under uncultured organism. Its description in RNAcentral is "partial 16S ribosomal RNA". It matches the Rfam family "Bacterial small subunit ribosomal RNA", at positions 334 to 797 of the family's 1533-position model. The record is from RNAcentral.
CACUCCUGCGGGAGGCAGCAGUGGGGAAUUUUGGACAAUGGGCGAAAGCCUGAUCCAGCAAUGCCGCGUGUGUGAAGAAGGCCUUCGGGUUGUAAAGCACUUUUGUCCGGAAAGAAAUCCUUGGCUCUAAUACAGUCGGGGGAUGACGGUACCGGAAGAAUAAGCACCGGCUAACUACGUGCCAGCAGCCGCGGUAAUACGUAGGGUGCGAGCGUUAAUCGGAAUUACUGGGCGUAAAGCGUGCGCAGGCGGUUUGCUAAGACCGAUGUGAAAUCCCCGGGCUCAACCUGGGAACUGCAUUGGUGACUGGCAGGCUAGAGUAUGGCAGAGGGGGGUAGAAUUCCACGUGUAGCAGUGAAAUGCGUAGAGAUGUGGAGGAAUACCGAUGGCGAAGGCAGCCCCCUGGGCCAAUACUGACGCUCAUGCACGAAAGCGUGGGGAGCAAACAGGAUUAGAUACCCCUGUAGUCCCA